Molecule: ribosomal RNA, 670 nt
Filed under: Galeodea echinophora
Lineage: Eukaryota; Metazoa; Mollusca; Gastropoda; Littorinimorpha; Cassidae
Description: eukaryotic LSU rRNA
Rfam family: Eukaryotic large subunit ribosomal RNA (bases 347-670)
Source: RNAcentral
AAGAGAUCUUGAACUGGACUCUCCCGGCGCAGGACGCGGUCCGACCGUGUGCACUUUCCGCGGGCAGAGCGCCACGACCGGUUCUCGGGCGGUCAGAAGGCGACGGGGAUGGUAGGUGCGCGCUUCGGCGUGCACUGGUAUAGCCCCGCCUGUCCCGAUCCGCUCGGGGACCGAGGAGCCGCCGCCGGUGUAAGGCCGCCUCGCCCUCCUGGGAUGUCCCGACUGGCAGAGACUGGGCAACCGUGUCUGCCGACCGCUUCCCUGGACGGUCUUUUGGGGUGGGCCCGCCGGCACAGGGUCGGUGGCGAAUCGGUCGGCCCUCCACCCGACCCGUCUUGAAACACGGACCAAGGAGUCUAACAUGCGCGCGAGUCGUUGGGUCGUACGAAACCCGAAGGCGAAGUGAAAGCGAGGGCCGGUCUCUGACCGUUGCUCAGGUGGGAUCCUGCCACUCUGUGGGUGGGCGCACCACCGGCCCGUCUCGUCCGCGUCGUCGGUGAGGCGGAGCAUGAGCGUGCACGUUGGGACCCGAAAGAUGGUGAACUAUGCCUGAGUAGGACGAAGCCAGAGGAAACUCUGGUGGAGGUCCGCAGCGAUUCUGACGUGCAAAUCGAUCGUCAAACUUGGGUAUAGGGGCGAAAGACUAAUCGAACCAUCUAGUAGCUGGUUC